Molecule: long non-coding RNA, 408 nt
Organism: Hyaena hyaena (striped hyena)
Lineage: Eukaryota; Metazoa; Chordata; Mammalia; Carnivora; Hyaenidae
Exons: 3
Source: RefSeq, a predicted model, not a curated record
AUUCUUUUUAUUCAGUUGAAAUUGUAUUCUUCAUUCUGCCUACCCCAGGAGUAGCACAAAAUGGCUUUGAUUGUUCCCUACUGCCAUUUUGUAAUUGCUCUUUUUCAAGUUCGAUAUCUACUCGUUCUUCCAAUAAAGACAUAGGAUGAAUCUCCAUUUGGACUCAAUGAUGUUAAUGUUGCUGCUCCUGUACUACAGUGAAUUGCCUUCAGGUGACACUUCACCACCAAUGGAUAAGAUCCUUGGAGCCCCAUGAAUCUUACCAGUAAAGAGGAUCCAGAGGUUCACAAGAUGAAAUGACAUAAUGUGUCGAAAACAUUGAUCUUGAAGAGACAUUUGAAAUCAUCUAAUAUAGAUCCUUUAUGUUACAGAUAAAGAAUAUAUGGUAAUUUUGUUUACUAAAUAACU